Gallus gallus (chicken) is the source of this 3085-nucleotide long non-coding RNA. The record is from Ensembl. Lineage: Eukaryota; Metazoa; Chordata; Aves; Galliformes; Phasianidae.
CUAAUUCAGAAACCAGGGGAGGGAGCUACUUACUUCCUGGAUGUGAAUAAAGCUCCAUUCAUUUAAUGGAGUUGCACUAAUUCACCUCCUCCAAGGAUUUGCUCCUGUUCUCAGAAAUAUCAGCUCACAGUAGUGGGUGCUCUGGCAUGGAGUUAGGGAUGCCUGAAUAUUGUCCCAGCUAUUAAGUGAUGAUAUUAAAAAUAAAAACAAGAUCAUCUUGAACAGUUAAGCCAUGAUUUUAGCGUUAUUCAGUGCAUGCAAUCUGCGAGAUAAUAAUUGGUUUAUUAAAAAUAUACUAGAACUGGAUAUUGCAAGUGCUGAUACAGUCUGUGUUGUGUCAGCCUGAUGACAUCUAAGUGGGUAAUUCACUUUGUGUCUUGUCAAUCCACAGACAGCCUGCUGCUAUAGAGCUCUAAAAUUGAUCCGUUUAACUUUAUCAUUAUCUUAAGAAAGAACUUGAGGAGCUGAAUGAAGUGCUGUGAACUCCAUGUCUCCAUCCAUCAUCUUGUCCUCAGGACCUCGCCGUCUUGCUUUCUUGGAAUUGGCUCCUGUUCAGAAAGAGAUUAAGCAGCAAGUCUUCAAAAGCAAGAUAAAAAGCAGAACUAUGGGCCGUGCUUGGCUGUAUUCAGCAGCUUCUACCUCCCUUCUUGUGGAGCAAGGAGGAGCAGCUGGAGAAGCUGGGCUCUGCAUGAACAAGGCAUGAGGUAGAAGAAAUCACAGAGUUGGAGAGAACAGCAUGCACUGGCAUGCAUUCAGUUACAGCCGUGUGAACAAGCGGAUGUGGUUCAGGGGAAACAUGGGGAAGAUUUCAGCCAAGAUUCCUCCUCAGACACAGAGAUCAAUUUAACUGAUGGCUCCUUUCUUGGAAUCACCAUGCAUCAAACAUCUGAACUGCAAACAGUUUUAUCUCCGAAACAGAGCCUGGGACAGCCCGAGCUGCACACAUAGGCACAACGGCUGUGAGGAGGACACGUUCCAAAUUACAUACGUUAAAAAAAUCAGACGGAACGCCGUAUUUCAAGGCUGCUCAGGAAACCGAAUUCCCUCCUUUCAGCAUUGUACGGCCAGUUCUGCUGCACAGGGGCAGCACUCCUGGAGGUCCGAGGUGGAUCUGGAGCUGGCAUCCCAACUCAAAGGGCAGCUUGGAAGAGACGGGCUUCUACGAGGAGUCCCUUGCUCUGUGGGGGCCACGCAUGGGAGCUGUAGUCUCUGGCAUAGACAAUAGCCGUGUGAAUCAGCAGGACUUCACCGAUCUAUACUGAAGAGUUUGGAGUUGCUGAAGCAUGGGAACUGGUGGCUGUGGAGCAGCUCAUUAUACGCUCAUUUUAAUUCCAUCCUUGCAGGAUUGCCAACCACCAGACCAGGCUACCCAGAGCCACAUCCAGCCUGGCCUUGAAUACAUCCAAGGAUGGAGCGUCACCACCCUCUGGAGUCCAUGCUGGAAGGAGAAAGUGGCAGCAGAGGAUAAUGGUGCAGUCAGUACUGGCACAGUGUCACGCCUCGAGCUGAAGAGGGGAAAAUGGGAAAUAAUUUUGAUGUAGUAAUAAAUAUCUGUGGCAUGAAAACCUCAGAAAGUAUUUUCAACUGGAGCAGAUGUGCUUGGGACAGAUGGCUAAUGGUCAGCAGAGCCUUUGGGCUCAAGAGGAAAGUUGAUUCUAUCCUAAUUUUUUUUUUCCGGGCAAAGGAAAACAUGACAGUGUUUCACCAUUAGCAGUUAUGGAAACUGCAGCUACGGGGGGGCAGUUAGAUCCACAUAAAUGGAAUCAUAAGGCCAAGUGCUGGUACUAGCAAGUACCCCUGCAAUGAAAGGUUGCUCCCAUUGCUGCACAGUGUCGUCCCCUGCAAUGGGCUGGCGAUGAGCAGCACAGAAAUACCCAUCUCAAAAAGAGAGUUGGUUGGGUUAUUGCAACUUCUAGUUUUCCUCUCUGACAGUCCUCUGCAAGAGCUUAUUUUCAGUUUCAUGGUUAUGGUGAGAAACAUGGGGUGUUUUGAUUCCUAAUUUAGACUGUUUAUCCUGAGAGAUUCCAGGAUCUUCAUUUGAAAGAUAAAUUCAAACCUUGUUUUUCCUUUGCAGCGUGCAUUCCAUAACAAAAACAUUGCAUGCCAUACUCUGCUACAAGGGCUUGGAAGACCUUCGUAACCAUAAAUUUAGGAACUUGUGGAACAGAAUGGACUUUGGGAUGGAAACAAGCCAGCUGGCCUAUCUGGUCAGGUCCAUCCCUUCUGUUUGAAUUAACAGCUGGAUUUCACAGUGGGAGAAAUCCUGCAGUUCUUUCUCAGGCAAAUUUCUCACAGUUGGAUCUGCCUCCAACUAUUGUAAUAGGGUGGGAGGGAGCACAGCUUACUUUGUUAUUUUAUGUUAGCUCUCUGGGUAAAAAAAUUCCAAUGUGAGUUCUGUACAGCUUGGACCUACCCAGAUCUUUAAUUUAAUGACCUGAUGUGCAAUGUGAAGGACGUUCCCAGCAGAACAGAGACAGAGGAUAUGCAGUAGGCACUUUGUGCCUGGCAGUGCAAACAGCAGCCAUAUUCUGGAGAAAGAAGCUGGAUGCUGAGGCAGAAUAAGGAGGAAGGACCAUUUGUUGCUUGAAGGAUGCUGUCUUGGAGAUGAGUUGCUGACACAUUUUGGCAGACUGUGCAUGCAGAGAUGUUGGGUACAAAAUGCAAUGUUCAUUUUCACACGUGCUGUUUCAAUUCCAAAAGUAAUUGAACCAAAGUUAAAGGAUUUACAAAGAUUUGCACAUAGCCCAAGAAAGUGAGUCUUUGGAAGUCAAGUUGCUGCAGAGUAACCCGCCGUAGUUCCAUCAAAAUCUUUGAUUUAUCAUGGGAAGCCUUCCUUUAAAUGGAUAAAUAAAUACCUGGGGUCACUCAGUGAGGCUGAACUUAGCUUGUCCCCAGACAGAACCCUCUCACCUUUCCCUUUGCAAAGCUAUUUAUGACCCUACAAGCACAGGACAAGAGGCUUGCUUUCCCCUUCCAGGCAGCUCCAGCCUUGGGACAGCCAGCAUCAGCCCCCAAGGGAAGAGCAUCUUUUAGGGUUAAAAAUCCAAGGCUCCUGAGUUUCUGUUUGCAGCUAAGAAGACCCCUG